CCAAUAGCGUAUAUUAAGGUUGCUGCGGUUAAAAAGCUCGUAGUUGAAUUUCGGGAUUGAUGCAUCGGUCGUGCCUUAAGGGGUAUGAACUGGUGUGGUCAAUUUCUUACCUUCUGGUGAAUUGUGAUGUCCUCCUUAAUUGGAUGUUUCAAUGAACUAGGACUUUUUACUUUGAAAAAAUUAGAGUGUUUAAAGCAGGC
This 200-nucleotide ribosomal RNA is filed under the name uncultured Glomus. RNAcentral's name for it is "partial small subunit ribosomal RNA". It matches the Rfam family "Eukaryotic small subunit ribosomal RNA", at positions 591 to 785 of the family's 1831-position model. Lineage: Eukaryota; Fungi; Glomeromycota; Glomeromycetes; Glomerales; Glomeraceae. The record is from RNAcentral.